Molecule: ribosomal RNA, 520 nt
Filed under: uncultured bacterium
Lineage: Bacteria
Description: bacterial SSU rRNA
Rfam family: Bacterial small subunit ribosomal RNA
Source: RNAcentral
UCAGGAUGAACGCUGGCGGCGUGCCUAAUACAUGCAAGUCGAGCGAACCACUUCGGUGGUGAGCGGCGAACGGGUGAGUAACACGUAGGUGAUCUGCCCAUCAGACGGGGACAACGAUUGGAAACGAUCGCUAAUACCGGAUAGGACGAAAGUUUAAAGGUGCUUCUGGCACCGCUGAUGGAUGAGCCUGCGGCGCAUUAGCUAGUUGGUAGGGUAAAGGCCUACCAAGGCGACGAUGCGUAGCCGACCUGAGAGGGUGAACGGCCACACUGGGACUGAGACACGGCCCAGACUCCUACGGGAGGCAGCAGUAGGGAAUCUUCGGCAAUGGGCGAAAGCCUGACCGAGCAACGCCGCGUGAAUGAUGAAGGCCUUCGGGUUGUAAAAUUCUGUUAUAAGGGAAGAACGACUUUAGUAGGAAAUGGCUAGAGUGUGACGGUACCUUAUGAGAAAGCCACGGCUAACUACGUGCCAGCAGCCGCGGUAAUACGUAGGUGGCGAGCGUUAUCCGGAAUUAUUG